Long non-coding RNA from Cygnus olor (mute swan), 733 nucleotides. RefSeq lists it as uncharacterized. The transcript has 4 exons. NCBI's taxonomy places the organism in Eukaryota, Metazoa, Chordata, Aves, Anseriformes, Anatidae. The record is from RefSeq and is a predicted model, not a curated record.
GAAUUGCUUCCCUAGGAGAGUUUGAGGCUCAGGUUAUCUGGGGUGCUUUUCUACUGUGGUGAAAUGGACUCAGUGUUCCCCAUACAGUAAAACCCUGGUGGUAUGACUUCACUGUGAAGUAGUUUGGAAGUGACUCAAGUUCAGAAGCUAGCAAGGCACCUUGGCAAGCAGCUCCUGUGCCUGGUCUAUGGUGGCAUUGGUGAAGCCCGGGAACUUCUCGGGAUCCACGGAGCUGCUGAAGGCGCAGAUCAGGCACUUGCCAUCCAGGAGGGCGACCACGAUCCAGACGGCUGGGGCGACCGUAGCUCGCUGUAUGAUGGAGGAGCACAUGUACCUGGAGCAGGAGGGAGACGCGGGAGGGGAGCUCUCCUGGCAAAAAACAAGGAAAGACUAAAUAGGUCCCUACAACUCAGGACAACAAGAUAUAAGAAGAGUAGGAAGCAUUCUCUGGGCACUGCAAGCAACAAGGAAAUUUUACUUUUCCAGAAUAGUCUCCUGGCCUGGAUGUCAGAGGUCCAUAAAAGAUGCCUCUGCUGUGAGCUGGGGUCUUGCCAGUAACUCUGAGCUGAGACAUGGGGUCACUGAAUCAUAGGAGGGAAUAUUUCUCCAUUUGUUGCAAAAGGAGCUUCCUGGGGUGAGAGAGAAAGAACCCUGGAGGUAAGUUGCUAAACAUGGACAAAUGUUCAAAAUGAUUUCCAAAACCAAGUACAUCUGAUUAUCCAUCUUGCUCGUU